RNA transcript from Mustela lutreola (European mink), 2534 nucleotides. It is a transcript of the gene named heterogeneous nuclear ribonucleoprotein A2/B1, with no coding region annotated. Lineage: Eukaryota; Metazoa; Chordata; Mammalia; Carnivora; Mustelidae. The record is from RefSeq and is a predicted model, not a curated record. The transcript has 13 exons.
AAGACGCGUUAGUCGGGGGGAAGGUUCUAGAAAAGCGGCGGCAGCGGCUCUAGCGGCAGUAGCAGCAGCGCCGAGUCCCGUGUGGAGGUGCUCUUAGCGGUGUUGUUUCUCGAGCAGCGGCAGUUCUCACUACAGCGCCAGGACGAGUCCGGUUCGUGUUCGUCCGCGGAGAUCUCUCUCAUCUCGCUCGGCUGCGGGAAAUCGGGCUGAAGCGACUGAGUCCGCGAUGGAGAAAACUUUAGAAACUGUUCCUUUGGAGAGGAAAAAGAGAGAAAAGGAACAGUUCCGUAAACUCUUCAUUGGUGGCUUGAGCUUUGAAACCACAGAAGAAAGUUUGAGGAAUUACUACGAGCAAUGGGGGAAACUUACAGACUGUGUGGUUAUGAGGGAUCCUGCAAGCAAAAGAUCAAGAGGAUUUGGCUUUGUAACUUUUUCAUCCAUGGCUGAGGUUGAUGCUGCCAUGGCUGCAAGACCUCAUUCAAUUGAUGGUAGAGUGGUUGAGCCAAAACGUGCUGUUGCAAGAGAGGAAUCUGGAAAACCGGGGGCUCAUGUAACUGUGAAGAAGCUGUUUGUUGGUGGGAUUAAAGAAGAUACUGAGGAACAUCAUCUUAGAGAUUAUUUUGAGGAAUAUGGGAAGAUUGAUACCAUUGAGAUAAUUACUGAUAGACAGUCUGGAAAGAAAAGAGGCUUUGGAUUUGUUACUUUUGAUGAUCAUGAUCCUGUGGAUAAGAUUGUGUUGCAGAAAUAUCAUACCAUCAAUGGUCAUAAUGCAGAAGUAAGAAAGGCUCUGUCUAGACAAGAAAUGCAGGAAGUCCAAAGUUCUAGAAGUGGAAGAGGAGGUAAUUUUGGUUUUGGAGAUUCUCGUGGUGGUGGUGGAAAUUUUGGACCAGGACCAGGAAGUAACUUUAGAGGAGGAUCUGAUGGAUAUGGAAGUGGUCGUGGAUUUGGGGAUGGCUAUAAUGGGUAUGGAGGAGGACCUGGAGGUGGCAAUUUUGGAGGUAGCCCUGGUUAUGGAGGAGGAAGAGGAGGAUAUGGUGGUGGAGGACCUGGAUAUGGCAACCAGGGUGGGGGCUACGGAGGUGGUUAUGACAACUAUGGAGGAGGAAAUUAUGGAAGUGGAAAUUACAAUGAUUUUGGAAAUUAUAACCAGCAACCCUCUAACUAUGGUCCAAUGAAGAGUGGAAACUUUGGUGGUAGCAGGAACAUGGGGGGACCAUAUGGUGGAGGAAACUAUGGUCCUGGAGGCAGUGGAGGAAGUGGGGGUUAUGGAGGAAGAAGCCGAUACUGAGCUUCUUCCUAUUUGCCAUGGAUCUUUUAGAUGCUGCUUCUUCAAUGCAAGGAAAGGAAAUAACCCCAGCGAGGUACUCUUCAGGGAUACAGGUCUAGUACAAGAGAACUCUUGACGGCUACUAAGUUCAGCCAGUCUUAAAAAACUGUGCUGUUUCUGCAAAGCUUUAAACUACAGUAGUUUAUAAGGAUGACAACGAAAGCUGAGGGUGUAGAGCAAAAUAGUUCUAAGCUUCAGUUAAACUUCUUUAGGUAAGAUCUUAAUUUACUUUUUCUUUCUUAAUUUUCCUCCCCAAAAGAUAAACUAAUACUACUCUUCAAUGGUCUUUCAGUAUAGUGGUUCUUAUGUAGUUUAACAUAGCUAUAAAUUUGAGUUUAACAAUUUAUAAACUCAAGAGAAUAAUCUUAUAAACCCUGUUUUCCAAUCUGUCAUUUACUUAAAUUAUUUUGGUUGUUUUUUCCCCCCUUUUUUUUCCUUCUUUCCCACCCCCUCUCCCUCUAUGAAGAUUCAGGUGCUUAACAUAUCAUUUUUUUCCCUGCUGGAAUUUUAGCAUUGAUAUGAACCAUGGACAAGUAUAUUCUGCUGCCACAAAGACUGUAAAGUGCUUCAUUUCAACAGCUGAGGCGCAAGCCAAGUGAUCAUUAAUAAAGCUUUUCUUGGUUCCUUCAGUGGUGUUGGUAGUAAAAUGGAAGGUGUCUUGCUGCAGGUAACUAAUGAAGAAGUGGUCAACCACAGAGUCUUCAAGAAAUAAGAAAUUCUGUACCAUCUGAAAGUAGUUCUUGUUGGUGCCUUCAUUUAAAAAAAAAAAAAAAAGCACUUUAAGUUUAAAGGGAAAUGUUUUCUGAUAAAAUACAAACUUCAUUUAGUACAGGUUCUUAAUAUAAAACAAUUACAAAAUGAGUGUUGUUUGUAAAAGAGUAACAUCAGAUAAGCAAGAGAGAAAUGUAUCAUGUUUUAAACUAGGUUUUGUGAGUAGACAGAUAAAAAUUCUAUUUUAAAUAUAAAGUUUAUAAAAUAAACACUUUUGUAUUAAAAUACUCGGUGUAAUGUUUACACAUAAAAUGUGUGAAUCUUGUUCUAUAAACAUUCAGUUGUCUAAAAGAUUGCCAUCCCCUAGAUUUUUCAAAGCAGUUUGAAAAAACUAUGCAUAUUGCCAUUUUUAUCUCAGUAUUGAUAGUCCAAUGAGAAAAGGAUUUGUGGACAUUAUUGGCUGUCCCUAAUAAAAUGCCAUUCUUUACAUACUGUA